Molecule: long non-coding RNA, 565 nt
Organism: Homo sapiens (human)
Lineage: Eukaryota; Metazoa; Chordata; Mammalia; Primates; Hominidae
Source: Ensembl
GAGGCCGUGGAACUGGAGCAGGUAGGACUGCAGGCCACUCUGCGUGCGCGCCCAGCUCUCGGGCUCCUGCAAGGGCUGCAGCUGAAUGAUCGUGGUGUUGGUGUCUGGGCCUUCCAGCACGUGCGUUAGGUGUCCCCCCAGCGACGCGUUGCCCUGGUACCACACGUGAUAGGGGUCGCGGAAGUAGGAGAUCUGGAGCAUAUGAAGUCUUUGGAGGCCUGCGGGCAGAGUCAGCUUCAGCCUGGGCCGGCGUGGGAGGGGGCGGCGGGCAGCGGAAGAUAAUAACCCCCUACCUCGAGGCUGGCCGCCCGCCUUCUCGACCCUUCAUAAACUAUAAUGUGCCCUCCCACCGCUUCUCCCGUUUGACGCUGACAGUAACUCUGCCAGGAGGACAGGACAGGGAUUAUUAUCUCCGUUUUACAGAUGAGGAAACUGAGGCCUGCAGUGGAAGAGACACUCCUUUCUGCCUCCUUUUUCACCCUCGGCUCUCCCUCCCCCCGUUUCCUGUUAACCAACGGAACAAAUGGUUAACAAAUCCUGACCUGAAUAAAAUUCCAAUUCCAUC